GAUGAACGCUGGCGGCGUGCCUAAUACAUGCAAGUCGAGCGAACGGACGAGAAGCUUGCUUCUCUGAUGUUAGCGGCGGACGGGUGAGUAACACGUGGACAACCUACAUAUAAGACUGGGAUAACUUCGGGAAACCGGAGCUAUUACCGGACGAUCUUUUGAACCGCAAGGUUCAAAAGUGAAAGACGGUCUUGCUGUCACUUAUAGAUGGAUCCGCGCUGCAUUAGCUAGUUGGUAAGGUAACGGCUUACCAAGGCAACGAUGCAUAGCCGAACUGAGAGGGUGAUCGGCCACACUGGAACUGAGACACGGUCCAGACUCCUACGGGAGGCAGCAGUAGGGAAUCUUCCGCAAUGGGCGAAAGCCUGACGGAGCAACGCCGCGUGAGUGAUGAAGGUCUUCGGAUCGUAAAACUCUGUUAUUAGGGAAGAACAUAUGUGUAAGUAACUGUGCACAUCUUGACGGUACCUAAUCAGAAAGCCACGGCUAACUACGUG
Molecule: ribosomal RNA, 497 nt
Filed under: uncultured bacterium
Lineage: Bacteria
Description: partial 16S ribosomal RNA
Rfam family: Bacterial small subunit ribosomal RNA
Source: RNAcentral